RNAcentral lists this ribosomal RNA (301 nucleotides) under uncultured bacterium. RNAcentral describes it as "partial 16S ribosomal RNA". It matches the Rfam family "Bacterial small subunit ribosomal RNA", at positions 509 to 807 of the family's 1533-position model. The record is from RNAcentral.
CAGUAGCCGCGGUAACACGGAGGGUGCAAGCGUUAAUCGGAAUUACUGGGCGUAAAGCGCACGCAGGCGGUCUGUCAAGUCGGAUGUGAAAUCCCCGGGCUCAACCUGGGAACUGCAUUCGAAACUGGCAGGCUAGAGUCUUGUAGAGGGGGGUAGAAUUCCAGGUGUAGCGGUGAAAUGCGUAGAGAUCUGGAGGAAUACCGGUGGCGAAGGCGGCCCCCUGGACAAAGACUGACGCUCAGGUGCGAAAGCGUGGGGAGCAAACAGGAUUAGAUACCCGGGUAGUCCCUGUCUCUUAUAC